UACGUAGGGUGCGAGCGUUAAUCGGAAUUACUGGGCGUAAAGCGUGCGCAGGCGGUUCUCCAAGUCCGUUGUGAAAGCCCCGGGCUCAACCUGGGAAUGGCAUUUGGGACUGCAAGGCUCGAGUGCGGCAGAGGAGACUGGAAUUCCUGGUGUAGCAGUGAAAUGCGUAGAUAUCAGGAGGAACACCGAUGGCGAAGGCAAUCCCCUGGGCCUGCACUGACGCUCAUGCACGAAAGCGUGGGGAGCAAACAGG
Molecule: ribosomal RNA, 253 nt
Filed under: uncultured bacterium
Lineage: Bacteria
Description: partial 16S ribosomal RNA
Rfam family: Bacterial small subunit ribosomal RNA
Source: RNAcentral